RNAcentral lists this small nucleolar RNA (75 nucleotides) under Catagonus wagneri (Chacoan peccary). RNAcentral describes it as "Small nucleolar RNA SNORD113/SNORD114 family (ENSCWAG00000005073.1)". It matches the Rfam family "Small nucleolar RNA SNORD113/SNORD114 family". Rfam says of the family: The imprinted human domain at 14q32 contains two clusters of tandemly repeated small nucleolar RNAs named 14q(I) and 14q(II) snoRNAs. These two clusters are named SNORD113 and SNORD114 respectively in the HGNC approved gene symbol nomenclature. The snoRNAs found in both clusters are clearly related and are represented here by a single family. The record is from Rfam by way of RNAcentral. Lineage: Eukaryota; Metazoa; Chordata; Mammalia; Artiodactyla; Tayassuidae.
UGGACCAAGGAUGAUGACUGGUGGCGUAUGAGUCAUGGGUGAUGAAUACCAUGUGUCUGAAUCUCUGAGGUUCAA